Non-coding RNA from Stegodyphus mimosarum, 74 nucleotides. The record is from Rfam. Lineage: Eukaryota; Metazoa; Arthropoda; Arachnida; Araneae; Eresidae.
GCCUUCGUGGUGUAAUGGUCAGCACACUGAGCCGGUAUUUCAGAGGUCCGUGGUUCGAUCCCCGGGCGAAGGAA